GUGCCCAAUGAUUAAGGAAUGACGCGUUAUUGCGAGGACUAAUCUGGCAAGCUAUUCUUUCCACUUGCCAUGCCUUGACUGCUACCUCCUUUUCCACUUCUCUAGUCCCCUCUUGCUUCUCUCCCUGCUUUUUUUUUCUAUUAUUUCUCUCCUUCCUUCCUUCCUUCCCCACUCCUGUUCCUUAAAAGUAAAACCUUUAUGGAUAGCUGGCCAGUGUCCUGUGAACGUGAUUUGAAAGAUGAGGGCAG
Small nucleolar RNA from Stegostoma tigrinum, 248 nucleotides. RefSeq annotates it as small nucleolar RNA SNORD97. NCBI's taxonomy places the organism in Eukaryota, Metazoa, Chordata, Chondrichthyes, Orectolobiformes, Stegostomatidae. The transcript has a single exon. The record is from RefSeq and is a predicted model, not a curated record.